GGCAGAGCCGGGAUUCGAACCCGUGACCUCUGACUCCCAAGCCCGGGCUCUUUCCACUGAGCCACGUUGCUUCCAGUGUGAGGGGCAGACCAUCCUACACCCCUGAUAAUCCCUUCUCGGUCCCUGAAUCUCCCCACAGUGACCCAGCCUGGACCAUCAUACACCCCGACUCUCCCCUCUCCAUCCCUGUCUCUCCCCAGUGACCCCGCAUGGACCAUCUGUCACCCCUGCCUCUCGUUCACUCAUUCAUUCAAUAGUAUUUAUUGAGCGCUUACUACGUGCAGAGCACUGUACUAAGCGCUUGGUCCUAAACACUCUCCCCUCACCAUCACUGACUGUCCUUUUUCUGUAGUAGAGCCCCAUGGCUGGUGUCACUCAGUCCCCUGGGGCUGAGUUCCAGUAUCUAGGAGAUGUUGAUUUUGGGGGGGAUAGCCUGAAUGCUGACUCCCACGGCGGCUGCCAGUCCCCCAGUCCUAAAACAACUGACCAGCGUGAUCCAUUUCCCCUGUGACAUCUGGGCUGAUUUCUGGGCAGGAAAACAAGAAGAAAAAGCUGUUCGUAGUUGGAGCCGAAACCCUUCCACAGCUCCACAGUCUAUCAAAUGUUAAACCUCCUGGCACCGAGUCAAGCGGCACAAAGACGGUAGAGUGAAGUCAAGCAGCGGAAUGAACUCAGCCGGCAGAGUGAACUCGGGCAACCGAACCAACGCGGGCUACAGAUUGAAGUCGGGCAGCGGAACGGACUCAGCCGGCAGAGUGAAAUCAGGCAGCAGAGUGAAUUCACUCACGUGGCAGAGUGAAGUCCUGCGGCAGAAUAAGUUUCAGAACUUAAGCUGUGGGAUGACUGCGGCUAUAGUAAGUGCUGGAUUCUCAGCCGCCCUGCCUGGGCGGUGAGAGGCCUGGAACGGUAGCCCCUGGGGUACUUAUUCUUGUCCCUGUCUCUUUAAGUCGUUUUUCUGUUUAUCUUGCCUUUCCUUAUGUGUCCAUCACCAUCUCUAACCCUGCUUAUUCUCAGAAGCACAGGGCACCUGUCUAGUUCUCAUCUGUAUACUUUUUCUCAGUGCUUAGUACAAUUCUCUGUAGACGAUAAGUACUUAAUAAAUAGCGCUAUUACCACUAC
Molecule: long non-coding RNA, 1119 nt
Organism: Ornithorhynchus anatinus (platypus)
Lineage: Eukaryota; Metazoa; Chordata; Mammalia; Monotremata; Ornithorhynchidae
Exons: 2
Source: RefSeq, a predicted model, not a curated record